CUUCCUGCCGGGCGACCGGCGCACGGGUGAGUAACACGUAUGCAACCUGGCCGUCACAGGUGGAUAACCGGAAGAAAUUCCGACUAAUACAGCAGUAACACCCCCGGGAGGGACAUCCUUUCGGGGUCAAAGGAGGCAACUCCGGUGACGGAUGGGCAUGCGGCGCAUUAGGUAGUUGGUAGGGUAACGGCCUACCAAGCCGACGAUGCGUAGGGGUUCUGAGAGGAAGGUCCCCCACAUUGGAACUGAGACACGGUCCAAACUCCUACGGGAGGCAGCAG
Molecule: ribosomal RNA, 281 nt
Filed under: uncultured bacterium
Lineage: Bacteria
Description: partial 16S ribosomal RNA
Rfam family: Bacterial small subunit ribosomal RNA
Source: RNAcentral